Molecule: ribosomal RNA, 253 nt
Filed under: uncultured bacterium
Lineage: Bacteria
Description: partial 16S ribosomal RNA
Rfam family: Bacterial small subunit ribosomal RNA
Source: RNAcentral
UACAGAGGUGUCAAACGUUGUCCGGAAUUACUGGGCGUAAAGGGCGCGUAGGCGGCCUUAUAAGUCAUGUGUGAAAGCUCUGGGCUCAACCCAGGAAUUGCAUGUGAUACUGUAAGGCUCGAGUUCGGUAGAGGAGGGCGGAAUUCCAGGUGUAGCGGUGAAAUGCGUAGAGAUGCGGAGGAACACCGAUGGCGAAGGCAGCCCCCUGGGCUAGCACUGACGCUCAGGCACGAAAGCGUGGGGAGCAAACAGG